GUAGGUAUGGCUCAAGUAGCAGAGGGCCUGCCUGGCAAGUGCGAGGCCCUGAGUUUAAACCUCAGUAUCUCCA
RNAcentral lists this transfer RNA (73 nucleotides) under Dipodomys ordii (Ord's kangaroo rat). It matches the Rfam family "tRNA". Rfam says of the family: Transfer RNA (tRNA) molecules are approximately 80 nucleotides in length. The record is from Rfam by way of RNAcentral. Lineage: Eukaryota; Metazoa; Chordata; Mammalia; Rodentia; Heteromyidae.